Molecule: long non-coding RNA, 362 nt
Organism: Oncorhynchus tshawytscha (Chinook salmon)
Lineage: Eukaryota; Metazoa; Chordata; Actinopteri; Salmoniformes; Salmonidae
Source: Ensembl
GUCAGGGUAGCCUAGUGGUUAGAGUGUAGAGGCGGCAGGGUAGCCUAGUGGUUAGAGUGUAGAGGCGGCAGGGUAGCCUAGUGGUUAGAGUGUGGAGGCGACAGGGUAGCCUAGUGGUUAGAGUGUAGAGGCGGCAGGGUAGCCUAGUGGUUAGAGUGUAGAGGCGGCAGAGUAGCCUAGUGGUUAGAGUGUAGAGGCGGCAGGGUAGCCUAGUGGUUAGAGUGUGGAGGUGGCAGGGUAGCCUAGUGGUUAGAGUGUAGAGGCGGCAGGGUAGCCUAGUGGUUAGAGUGUGGAGGCGGCAGGGUAGCCUAGUGGUUAGAGUGUGGAGGCGGCAGGGUAGCCUAGUGGUUAGAGUGUAGAGG